UUCCAGACUCCUACGGGAGGCAGCAGUGGGGAAUAUUGCACAAUGGGGGAAACCCUGAUGCAGCGACGCCGCGUGAGCGAUGAAGUAUUUCGGUAUGUAAAGCUCUAUCAGUAGGGAAGAAAAUGACGGUACCUGACUAAGAAGCCCCGGCUAACUACGUGCCAGCAGCCGCGGUAAUACGUAGGGGGCAAGCGUUAUCCGGAUUUACUGGGUGUAAAGGGAGCGUAGACGGCAGUGCAAGUCUGGAGUGAAAGGGGGGGGCCCAACCCCCUUCCCGCCAUUGAAACUGGCGCUCUUGAGUGGAAGAGAAGUAUGCGGAAUGCGUGGUGUAGCGGUGAAAUGCAUAGAUAUCACGCAGAACCCCGAUUGCGAAGGCAGCAUGCCGGCUUCCGACUGACGCUGAAGCACGAAAGCGUGGGGAUCGAACAGGAUUAGAUACCCUCGUA
RNAcentral lists this ribosomal RNA (446 nucleotides) under uncultured bacterium. Its description in RNAcentral is "partial 16S ribosomal RNA". It matches the Rfam family "Bacterial small subunit ribosomal RNA", at positions 329 to 792 of the family's 1533-position model. The record is from RNAcentral.